GUGGGGAAUAUUGGACAAUGGGCGCAAGCCUGAUCCAGCAAUGCCGCGUGGGUGAAGAAGGCCUUCGGGUUGUAAAGCCCUUUUGUACGGAAAGAAAUCCUGGUGGUUAAUACCCGCCGGGGAUGACGGUACCGUAAGAAUAAGCACCGGCUAACUUCGUGCCAGCAGCCGCGGUAAUACGAAGGGUGCAAGCGUUAAUCGGAAUUACUGGGCGUAAAGCGUGCGUAGGUGGUUUCUUAAGUCUGUCGUGAAAGCCCUGGGCUCAACCUGGGAAGGGCGAUGGAUACUGGGAGGCUAGAGUGCGGUAGAGGAUGGCGGAAUUCCCGGUGUAGCGGUGAAAUGCGUAGAGAUCGGGAGGAACAUCUGUGGCGAAGGCGGCCAUCUGGACCAGCACUGACACUGAGGCACGAAAGCGUGGGGAGCAAACAGGAUUAGAAACCCCAGUAGUCC
RNAcentral lists this ribosomal RNA (450 nucleotides) under uncultured bacterium. RNAcentral describes it as "partial 16S ribosomal RNA". It matches the Rfam family "Bacterial small subunit ribosomal RNA", at positions 354 to 796 of the family's 1533-position model. The record is from RNAcentral.